CCCCUCAAAACUCAAACACCCAAAAACUGUUUGAGAAAAAUAGAGAAUACAAAUUUUAGCACACAAACCCCUUAAAUACACAUAAUAAAAGCAAUAGAAAUAUAAUCCUUAAGGGGUGGAAGCCUUUAUUGUACACUCUCAAUGAAUUUCACACUUGAUUACGGCUGGAGAGUGAUUGGUGAGGUGCUUAAAUGCUUUAAUCUCUCUCUUAGGGCUGACAAUGGCUUUUCUCGAAUUUAAUCUUUGAGCAUGCAAAAAUCUUGUGAUUUUUCACUUCAAGAGAGCAUUUAUAGUUAUCAUUUAU
Molecule: long non-coding RNA, 304 nt
Filed under: Elaeis guineensis (African oil palm)
Lineage: Eukaryota; Viridiplantae; Streptophyta; Magnoliopsida; Arecales; Arecaceae
Description: long non-coding RNA (EGUI_LNC031599)
Source: RNAcentral